RNAcentral lists this ribosomal RNA (1354 nucleotides) under uncultured marine eukaryote. Its description in RNAcentral is "SSU rRNA". It matches the Rfam family "Eukaryotic small subunit ribosomal RNA", at positions 411 to 1777 of the family's 1831-position model. The record is from RNAcentral.
CACUUCUAAGGAAGGCAGCAGGCGCGCAAAUUACCCAAUCCUGACUCAGGGAGGUAGUGACAAGAAAUAACAAUAAACCGGCUUAUGCCGGUUUAAUUGGAAUGAGUACAAUUUAAACAUCUUAACGAGGAACAAUUGGAGGGCAAGUCUGGUGCCAGCAGCCGCGGUAAUUCCAGCUCCAAUAGCGUAUACUAAAGUUGUCGCAGUUAAGAAGCUCGUAGUUGGAUUUCUGUGGGGACGGAGCGGCCGGCCGCAACACGCGGUUCGAGCUAGCGCUUUCCCUACAUCCUGCCGCGAACCGUGCUACCAUUAGUUUGGUGGCGCCGGGGAUCGGCUCGAUUACUUUGAGAAAAAUAGAGUGUUCAAAGCAGGCCACACGCCUUGAAUAAGUUAGCAUGGAAUAAUAACUAAGGACUUCGGUUCUAUUUUGUUGGUGUUCGGGACUGAAGUAAUGAUUGAUAGGGACAGUUGGGGCGGUCUGUAUUCCAAAGCGAGAGGUGAAAUUCUUAGACCUUCGGAAGACAAACAGCUGCGAAAGCGUUCCGCAAGGAUGUUCCCUUUGAUCAAGAACGAAAGUUGGGGGAUCGAAGACGAUCAGAUACCGUCGUAGUCUCAACUAUAAACUAUACCAGCUAGGGAUCGGCCAACGUUAUUCUAUACCGACUUGGUCGGCACCUUAUGAGAAAUCAAAGCAUCUGGGUUCCGGGGGGAGUAUGGUCGCAAGGCUGAAACUUAAAGGAAUUGACGGAAGGGCACCACCAGCCGUGGAGCCUGUGGCUUAAUUUGACUCAACACGGGAAAACUUACCAGGUCCAGACAUAGUAAGGAUUGACAGAUUGAUAGCUCUUUCUUGAUUCUGUGGGUGGUGGUGCAUGGCCGUUCUUAGUUGGUGGAGUGAUUUGUCUGGUUAAUUCCGUUAACGAACGAGACCCCAGCCUGCUAAAUAGCGCGCGUGAGCUUUGCUCGCGGCGAGCUUCUUAGAGGGACUAUGAUGCGCGAUAGCACAUGGAAGUUUGGGGCAAUAACAGGUCUGUGAUGCCCUUAGAUGUUCUGGGCCGCACACGGGCUACACUGGCGCCUGCAACGAGCAUAUCAGCUGGCCCGAGAGGGUCUUGGCUAAUCUUUUGAACCGGCGCCGUGCUUGGGAUUGACCUUUGCAAUUGUUGGUCAUGCAACGAGGAAUGCCUUGUAAACGCGAGUCAUCAGCUCGCAUUGAAUACGUCCCUGCCCUUUGUACACACCGCCCGUCGCUCCUACCGAUGAAUGUUCCGAUGAAAUUUUCGGAGAGUGCCUGUGAACUUGGCUCUGCCUUGCGAACGGGAAGCUCAAAGUCACUUAAAUCUGAACAUUUCGA